RNAcentral lists this ribosomal RNA (1517 nucleotides) under Clostridium botulinum. RNAcentral describes it as "bacterial SSU rRNA". It matches the Rfam family "Bacterial small subunit ribosomal RNA". The record is from RNAcentral. Lineage: Bacteria; Bacillati; Bacillota; Clostridia; Eubacteriales; Clostridiaceae.
UUUAAAUUUAGAGUUUGAUCCUGGCUCAGGACGAACGCUGGCGGCGUGCUUAACACAUGCAAGUCGAGCGAUGAAGCUUCCUUCGGGAGGUGGAUUAGCGGCGGACGGGUGAGUAACACGUGGGUAACCUGCCUCAAAGUGGGGGAUAGCCUUCCGAAAGGAAGAUUAAUACCGCAUAAUAUAAGAGAAUCGCAUGAUUUUUUUAUCAAAGAUUUAUUGCUUUGAGAUGGACCCGCGGCGCAUUAGCUAGUUGGUAAGGUAACGGCUUACCAAGGCAACGAUGCGUAGCCGACCUGAGAGGGUGAUCGGCCACAUUGGAACUGAGACACGGUCCAGACUCCUACGGGAGGCAGCAGUGGGGAAUAUUGCGCAAUGGGGGAAACCCUGACGCAGCAACGCCGCGUGGGUGAUGAAGGUCUUCGGAUUGUAAAGCCCUGUUUUCUAGGACGAUAAUGACGGUACUAGAGGAGGAAGCCACGGCUAACUACGUGCCAGCAGCCGCGGUAAUACGUAGGUGGCGAGCGUUGUCCGGAUUUACUGGGCGUAAAGGGUGCGUAGGCGGAUGUUUAAGUGGGAUGUGAAAUCCCCGGGCUUAACCUGGGGGCUGCAUUCCAAACUGGAUAUCUAGAGUGCAGGAGAGGAAAGCGGAAUUCCUAGUGUAGCGGUGAAAUGCGUAGAGAUUAGGAAGAACACCAGUGGCGAAGGCGGCUUUCUGGACUGUAACUGACGCUGAGGCACGAAAGCGUGGGUAGCAAACAGGAUUAGAUACCCUGGUAGUCCACGCCGUAAACGAUGGAUACUAGGUGUAGGGGGUAUCAACUCCCCCUGUGCCGCAGUUAACACAAUAAGUAUCCCGCCUGGGGAGUACGGUCGCAAGAUUAAAACUCAAAGGAAUUGACGGGGGCCCGCACAAGCAGCGGAGCAUGUGGUUUAAUUCGAAGCAACGCGAAGAACCUUACCUGGACUUGACAUCCCUUGCAUAGCCUAGAGAUAGGUGAAGCCCUUCGGGGCAAGGAGACAGGUGGUGCAUGGUUGUCGUCAGCUCGUGUCGUGAGAUGUUAGGUUAAGUCCUGCAACGAGCGCAACCCUUGUUAUUAGUUGCUACCAUUAAGUUGAGCACUCUAAUGAGACUGCCUGGGUAACCAGGAGGAAGGUGGGGAUGACGUCAAAUCAUCAUGCCCCUUAUGUCCAGGGCUACACACGUGCUACAAUGGUAGGUACAAUAAGACGCAAGACCGUGAGGUGGAGCAAAACUUAUAAAACCUAUCUCAGUUCGGAUUGUAGGCUGCAACUCGCCUACAUGAAGCUGGAGUUGCUAGUAAUCGCGAAUCAGAAUGUCGCGGUGAAUACGUUCCCGGGCCUUGUACACACCGCCCGUCACACCAUGAGAGCUGGUAACACCCGAAGUCCGUGAGGUAACCGUAAGGAACCAGCGGCCGAAGGUGGGAUUAGUGAUUGGGGUGAAGUCGUAACAAGGUAGCCGUAGGAGAACCUGCGGCUGGAUCACCUCCUUUCUA